Molecule: ribosomal RNA, 292 nt
Filed under: uncultured bacterium
Lineage: Bacteria
Description: partial 16S ribosomal RNA
Rfam family: Bacterial small subunit ribosomal RNA
Source: RNAcentral
GUGCCAGCAGCCGCGGUAAGACAGAGGGUGCAAACGUUGUUCGGAAUUACUGGGCGUAAAGCGCGUGUAGGCGGCUUGGCAAGUCGGGUGUGAAAGCCCUGGGCUCAACCUAGGAAGUGCACUCGAAACUGCUUCGCUUGAGUGCCGGAGAGGAAAGCGGAAUUCUCGGUGUAGAGGUGAAAUUCGUAGAUAUCGAGAGGAACAUCGGUGGCGAAGGCGGCUUUCUGGACGGUAACUGACGCUGAGACGCGAAAGCGUGGGGAGCAAACAGGAUUAGAAACCCCCGUAGUCC